RNAcentral lists this ribosomal RNA (494 nucleotides) under uncultured bacterium. RNAcentral's name for it is "partial 16S ribosomal RNA". It matches the Rfam family "Bacterial small subunit ribosomal RNA", at positions 28 to 507 of the family's 1533-position model. The record is from RNAcentral.
GAUGAACGCUGGCGGCGUGCUUAACACAUGCAAGUCGAACGGUCAAGCGCCUUCCUUUCUGGUGGGAGUGUAUGAGUGGCGAACGGGGGAGUAACACGUGAGUAACCUGCCCCCUUCUUCUGGAUAACCGCAUGAAAGUGUGGCUAAUACGGGAUAUACUGAGCCUGUCGCAUGAUGAGUCUGGGAAAGAUUUUGUUUCGGUGGGGGAUGGGGCCGCGGCCUAUCAGCUUGUUGGUGGGGUGAUGGCCUACCAAGGCGGUGACGGGUAGCCGGCCUGAGAGGAUGGACGGCAACACUAGGGCGAAGAGACGGACAAGACUACUGGGGGAGGCAGCAGUGAGGAAUAUUGCACGAGGGGAGCAAGGCUGGUGCAGCGCCGCGGGGUGAAGGAUGGAGGCCUUCGGGUUGUAAACCUCUUUCGCGAGAGAAGAAGGGCUGCAGCGCUUGUGCGUGGGUUGACGGUAGCUAAAUAGAAAGCGCCGGCUAACUACGUG